This 639-nucleotide long non-coding RNA is filed under the name Pan troglodytes (chimpanzee). RNAcentral's name for it is "lncRNA (ENSPTRG00000053844.1)". Lineage: Eukaryota; Metazoa; Chordata; Mammalia; Primates; Hominidae. The record is from RNAcentral.
CCUCUCUGCUGAUAUGGUGUUUAAUGGAUGUAAGUGACACUUGUUCUGCAGUUCCCUUGGUUUGAAUGUCUCCAAGCAUUACUACAUGAAAAGAUGCAUCAUGCUGGAGAAGAAAAUCAAUAUUGGCCUGUGAAAAACCCAAGUGAAAAUAUCUUGAACGACAUAUGACAUUCAAUAGAAACUUCGCAGCACAUAAAAGGAUCAAGUAACAUUUAACAUCCUGAUGAAGAGCAUGCUGCUGAAAACACUGCUCUGGAAAGUGGUGACUCUUUGAUGCUUCCCCAUAUGCCCAAAUUCCAAGGAGAAAUCUCCCAACUAACAGGUUCCAUUGAAGAUUUGAUGAAGGCGAAGAAUCUGCAACACCUUUUGGACCUUUGGGCUCACACCAUUGAUACCUCUGAUCUUGAUGACAAAGGCCAAUUUGGGUUCUGCAGAGAAAGAAGUCAAUGGAUUAUAACACUGAGGAGAUUCUUGGAUGAUUCCUCUGAGACGGGAAUAACACAACCCAGAAAAUGUGUUGAGCAUUCAGGUGUAAGUAGAAGAUGUCUGUGGUUCCUCUACCACAUUAUGAAUCCUGUUCUCCAAACUCUAGAGGCACCAUUCAGACAGAAGAAAUCAAUUUCAGACACGAUGGGAUAA